This 773-nucleotide unclassified non-coding RNA is filed under the name Hevea brasiliensis (rubber tree). Lineage: Eukaryota; Viridiplantae; Streptophyta; Magnoliopsida; Malpighiales; Euphorbiaceae. The record is from RNAcentral.
GCAUUUCCUAGCCCUUUCAAGACAAGCAAGAAGCGGUUCCAGAACGUCGGUGAUGAUGAUCGAGGUAAUUUGCAUUUGUGCGAACAUGGAUCGAAAUCAAAGGUUUCGAGCGAAUUAAAGCAUAAGGAAUCACAAGUUCAAUAUGUUAAAGCAGUCCAGAAUGAUAGUGAAAACCAUAAAGAACGGAAACAUGUAUCGCUUGAACGUGUUAUAGGUUUUAUUUUUGAUCAAUUGGCUCAUAAUCUACAGAAAUUUGAUCUGAGUUUACAGCAAGCAGACAGCAAAGAUUGUGAUUAUGAUUGUUCAACUCCACCCCCGGAAUCCUUCCAGUUUGAUCAUUUGAGGGCAGUCAUGAAUAUUUGGGAAGGUCGAAAGGUGGAUGUAAAUGGGUUGUUGGGGAAUUUGAACUUUGCAAGAGUAGGCGUUCCUUCAGGUGUAGUUGGAGUAUCUUCUUCGGCCAACGAAGAAGGUGAUGGUGGUAUCAGUGCUGGCAGUGGGGAGGAAACAGGGGGUAGUUCAUCACAGAAGUUGGCAAGUGGGUUACUCAGUAUUCCCUUAUCAAAUGUAGAGCGUUUGAGAUCCACACUAUUUACAAUUUCAUUGCCGGAGCUAAUUGAGCUUGUGCCACAGCUGGGGCGAUCUUCUAAAGACUAUCCUGAUAAGAAGAAGCUAUUCUCUGUCCAGGAUUUUUUUAGAUACACAGAGUCUGAAGGAAGGAGGUUCUUCGAGGAACUAGAUAGAGAUGGUGAUGGUCAAGUAACAUUGGAAGAUCU